This 4367-nucleotide long non-coding RNA is filed under the name Sus scrofa (pig). Its description in RNAcentral is "lncRNA (ENSSSCG00005033542.1)". The record is from RNAcentral. Lineage: Eukaryota; Metazoa; Chordata; Mammalia; Artiodactyla; Suidae.
AGUUCCCUGGGCCAGGGAUCAGAUCUGAGCUGCAGUUGAAAUGUAAGCCACAGCUGAGGCAACACUGGAUCUUUAACCCACUGUGCCGGGCCAGGGCUUGAACCUGCGUCCCAGCACUCCCAAGACACUGCCAAUCCCAUUGCACAUAGCGGGAACUCCUAUCCCUUCCUUUUUAAAAAUGUCUUUGCUGAAGGAUUUUAAAGUAAAUCUCAGACAUUGUAUCAUUUCACUUGUAAAUACUUAAAAAUUGAUUUUUAACAGAUAAGGUCUUCAUAAUUUUAAUCAAGCCACACUAUCAUUGCCACUCAACAAAAUUAAUAAGAUUUCCUUAAUAAUCAUGUCAUAAUCAGCCUGUAUUCAAUUUUCCUAUCUCAAAAAUAUCUUCCUCCAGGUUAAGUCAGGAUCCAACAUUACAUUUAGUUAGUAUGUCUCUUUUAAAAACUCUAUAUAACAUUCACCCUGUUUUUAAUUUCUUUCCUCUUGCUAUUUAUAUGAGGAAAUAACUAAAUCAUAUAUUCUAUAGAAUUUCCUCCAUUCAAGAUCCGGCUGAUGGUAUCCCCAUGGUGUCUAGUUAGAUCUAGAAACUUGUCUGAAAUUUUUUUCCAGGAAUACUCCAUAGGUGAUGCUGUGUACUUUCUUUUGCAUCACUCCAGGAGGCACAUGAUAUAUAGUUGUUCCACUUUCAGUGAUCUUAAGUUUGGUCAGUGAUUUUCGGUGCCAUCUACCAUCAAUCUUCCUUAUCAGUCUUUCACAUAAUGUUGUUAGCAGCCAUUGAUGAUUAUUGCCUGGAUCUAUUAUUUCAUUAGGAUUUGCAAAAUAGUGAUUUGGAGAUUCUAUCAAACCUUUUGCAUUUAUUAUCUGUGAUUCUUCUGUAAAGAUAAACUUCUCUAAAGCUGAAUGGGAAAGAUGGGAUAAAAUGUUUAUGAAUUUUUAGAAUGGGUUAGAGCCCCAGCAACCUACAAAGGUGACAAAGAGGAGUUAGCAAUUAGUUGGAUGUGAGGAUUUAGGGAAAAGCGGGCGUCAGAGACUACCUCCAGGUGGGUUUGAUAGUGAGUGCCAGGAGUGUGAUGCUGUUAUAGAAGGUAUAGGUCUCAAUCAAAUUAACCCCCUCAAGGAGCCACACAUAUUCGAGAGAUAUUUUGUCUCACACUGUUACCUAUUGCACAGUCUUGAGUCAGAAUUUAAGCCAAUAGUGGGGCCACUGUUCAUGUGUCUACCUGGUGGGGUGGAGUGCAUUUGGGAGGCAAAGCAUUGGAUCUCACUUGGAGAUGCUGAGUUUGAGGUGCUGCUGUCAUAUUCAUGGGAGGAUGUAGAGCAGACUACAGAAAAUGCAGGAGGGAACCUGAGAAAAAGGAUAAACUAGAAUCAUACACAGAAGACGAUGUGUAUGUUAUCUGGAAGUAAGCCCUGAUGCUUAACUAUGAACCCAAGGCAUUGCCAAGGGAGUGAUUACAUAGAAGAAAGAGGGCUCAGAAACAAAAGCUAAAUGUCAAUCCACUCCCUAAUGUCUGUGAUUCUUCCUCUGUGACUGUGAGCUAGCCCAACCCCACAUUUCCUUAGAAUAGUCACAGACACAGGGACUAGAGUUGAUAGGUGUACAGAGGUCCCACUGAUGGCUUACACUCUGACUGAUAACUCUGUAAUGGGUAAAACUUUGAGGCAAACCAAAUACCUCUCAAAUAUGUGUGGCUCUUGAGGAAUCAGAUUGAUUGGGACCUGUAUUAGUUUCCUAUGGCUGCUGUAAUCAGUUACCACAAAAUUGGUGGCUAAAAACAAUACACAUUUACAUUCUAACAGGAGACCAGAAGUCUGAAAUGGGUUUCACAGGGCUUCUGUUCCCCAUCCUGUGUUCAGCAUUACCUGAAUAAGCCAUAGCCUCACAGAUCUGCUCAAGGUUACCUGGAUAGGCUUUCGUUUCUGUGGCUCUCUGCUAUGGUUUCUUUUCUUUUCUUUUUUUUUCUCUUUUUCAUUUUAAAAAAUUUUGUUAAAGAAUAGUUGAUAUACAAUGUUAUGAUAAUUUCUGCUAUGCAGCAAAAUGAUUCAGUUAUACGUGUACACCAGUUGUCUUUCAGAUUCUUUUACCACGUAGACUAUCACAGAAUAUGGGUAGAAUUCUCUGUGGUGUAUAGCAGGUCCGGGGUGGUCAAUCAUUCCAUAUACCUCAGUGUGCAUGUGCCAAUUCCAAAACCCCAGUCCAUCCCUCCCCUCCCUACCUGUCCCCUUUGGUAACCAUAAGUUUAUUUUCAAAGUCUAUUGAGUCUGUUUGUGUUCUGCAAAUAAGUUCAUUUGCAUCCUUUUUUAAAUUCUACAUAUAAGUGACAUCAUAUGAUGUUAGUCUUUCAUUGUCUGACUAACUGCACUUAGUAUGAUAAUUUCUAGUUCCAUUCAUGUAGUUGCAAAUGGCAUUGUUUCAUUCUUGUUUAUGGCAGAGUAAUACUCCACUGUAUAUAUCUACCACAUCUUCUUUAUCCAUUCUUCUGUAGAUGGACAUUUAGAUUGUUUCCAUGUCUUGGCUAUUCUAAAUAGUGCCGCAGUGAACAUUGGGGUAUAUAUAUCUUUUCAAAUUAUGGUUUUCUCUGGAUAGAUGCCCAGGAGUGAGAUCAUAUGGUAGUUCUAUUUUUAAUUUUUUGAGGCAUCUCCACAUUGUUUUCCAUAGUGGUUGUACCAAUUUACAUUCCCACCAACAGUGUAAGAGGGUUCCCUUUUAUUUGUACCCUUUCCAGAAUUUAUGUAGACUUUGUGUUGAUGCCAUUCUGCCUGGUGUAACAUGGUACCUUAUUGUAGUUUUGAUUUGCAUUUUUCUAAUUAUUAGUGAUGUUGAGCAUCUUUACAUGUGCCUUUUGGCCAUCUGUAUGUCUUUGGAGAAAUAUCUAUUUAGAUCUGUCCAGUUUUUGAUUGGGUUGUUUGGUUUUUUGAUAUUUACCAAUAUAAGUUUGUUUAUUUUGGAGAUUAAUCCCUUGUCGGUUGCCUCAUUUGCAAGUAUUUUUUUCCAUUCUGUGGAUUGUCUUUUUGUUCUCUUCCCUGCUAUGGUUUCUACCUGAAAUCUCCUUUAGCCUUUUUAUGUUUUUAAAUUUAUUUUUAAAAUUUUCGGCUAUGGCCUCUAAUGGCUUGAUAUGGGAUCUUAGUUGUUGGACCAGGGAUCAAACCCAAACCACAGCAGUGGAAGCGCUUCUAACCACCAGGCUAUUAGGAAAUACCUCCCCUUACCUUUUAAAAAAAUAACAGCAUUAUUGAGACAUAAUUCACAUAACAUAAAAGUCACCCUCUUUAAAGUAUACAGUUCAGUGGUGUUUAGUAUAUUGCGUUGUGCAAACAUCACCACAGUUGAUUUUAAAACAUUUUGUCACCCUCAAAAUGAAACUGCAGUAGCAGUCAUUCUUCAUCUUCCCUCAACUCUAGGCAAUCUACUUUCCAUCUCUAUAGACAUGCCUAUUCUGGGCAUUUUGUUUAAAGGAAACAAAUGAAAAUGUGGUCUUUUUCACUUAGUUCAUUUUCAAGUUUCAUCUGUGGAAUAGCAUGAAUUAGACAUUCCUUUCCUUGUUUUUGCCAAAUAAUAUUCAAUUACUUGGCUAUAACACAUUUAAUUCACCUCUUCAUCAGCUGGUGGACUUUUGGGUUUCUACUUUCUGGCUGUUAUGAAUAAUGUUGCUGUGAGUAUUUGUGUACAUGUUUUACAUGGACACAGGUUUCCAUUUCCCUUGGGUGUAUACCUAGGGGUGGAGGCACUGGGUCAUACUGUAACUCCUUCCUUGUAACUUCGCAUAUCAAAAUUAUGUUCUGCUACCAUAGUGUUCUACCAUUUCCCACUCCGAAUGAAAUGUCUCCGCAGUACUUCCCUUGUUUAGUACUUCAGAUCUGUAUUGACCAAUCUGCCUUGGAGCUCAUUCUUGAAUGGGUAUUUCCAUCCAUGUGAAUUUCUGGAAAGCAGGGACAAGCUCUCUCAUUUUGAUUUGCCCCAAGGCCUCAAGUGUAUUACCCUGCAUGAAGCAGGAACUCUGUAAGUGCUUUUGAAUUAGUGGGGAAUAAAAGUGUUAAAAUUUUGAUAUGCUUGAUCCCACAAAGUGUGCGUAAUACUAAAUAAAAUAAUGUUCACUGUAAAAUUUCAACAAAUAAAUGUUAAUAAAUAACAAAGUAAUGGUGGAUAUGGUUAACCAAUUUAGUACAUUAAAGCCUAUUUAGUUUGAAUUUUAGAAGCUCUAGUAUUUUGGGUUUAUAACUGGAAAAAUGAAGCAUUUUAGAAAUUCUAGAUGGAACUUUGAAAAUGUAGUACAGAAUAUACAAAAGUAAAUGACAGCGUAUGUUAAAAUUUACUUUAUGAUUCAAAUUUCACAUUGUUCUAAAGAAAAUAAAAAAGGCUUUUCAGUGUU